RNAcentral lists this transfer RNA (86 nucleotides) under Gemmatimonadota bacterium. Its description in RNAcentral is "Gemmatimonadetes bacterium (marine metagenome) tRNA-Leu". It matches the Rfam family "tRNA". From Rfam's summary of the family: Transfer RNA (tRNA) molecules are approximately 80 nucleotides in length. Their secondary structure includes four short double-helical elements and three loops (D, anti-codon, and T loops). Further hydrogen bonds mediate the characteristic L-shaped molecular structure. tRNAs have two regions of fundamental functional importance: the anti-codon, which is responsible for specific mRNA codon recognition, and the 3' end, to which the tRNAs corresponding amino acid is attached (by aminoacyl-tRNA synthetases). tRNAs cope with the degeneracy of the genetic code in two manners: having more than one tRNA (with a specific anti-codon) for a particular amino acid; and 'wobble' base-pairing, i.e. permitting non-standard base-pairing at the 3rd anti-codon position. The record is from RNAcentral. Lineage: Bacteria; Pseudomonadati; Gemmatimonadota.
CGGGGUGGCGGAACGGUAGACGCAGGGGGCUUAAAACCCCCAGGGCUUAGGCCCAUGUGGGUUCGACUCCCACCCCCGGCAUACCA